CAACAUUCGAACCACCAGCAGCUGGUGGUCAAUUUCCUACGAACGCGACUUAAUUUUGGUUCAGACUGGAGUCGAGCGCUACGUUAUAGCUGUAUAUAUAGCUCGUUUCACGACGAAAUCUUCAUUUAUUGAGUUUGUCUGUCGAUUACGUUGGUAUCUGCAUUUUUAAUUUUGUAUUCGAAUGCCGUUCAUUUAUUUUAUUAAAUAGUUGUUUUUCGUAACAGCACACUAGUACGUGUUUCCUUUUGUUAUUCUUACAUAAUUAGGAAGAUUUUAAUCUUCAAGUUCAAUACUAUAAAUAAUCAAAUAUUUACGAACACCGAUCAUCGGUAUGUACCCAUUAUUGGUAUCGAAGUUUUAUGUUGAGCUGGAUAUCGAAAAAUUUCAAAUUGUAAUGCUGUAAUUUUGUACUUGUUUAGGUGUAAAACUAGGAUUAACAACUUGAUUGCUAGGAGCUAGGAAGAGAUUUUAGUAAUGAUGACCCUUUAAACUUAAACUGUCUCUCUAGUGCACUUCGAUCGGUUUUCUUUUCAAUUUUGAUAAAACCUAGUCGUGAUCUUUGUUUCAGAACUUCACUAAUUUAUUAAGUUUUGUAGUUUAUAUAGACGGAACAUGAGCAGAUACCAUUUGAUUAAUAAUAAUAUAUCCGAUUUGAUAUAUUAUUCUGUCGGAGUUUGAGUUCAACAUGGACACAUUUAUUAACAUCCCGCAUGAAUUUGUGUCGUCUUCACAAUUUUUUGCGCUGAAUUUGUAUGCUUAUUAAUACUGCCGCAUGAUAUCAGUAGCUGCUAUGAAACUAGAGUGUAUAGCAUGUGUAUUAUACGAUGUUUCCCACGUAAAAAUCGCAGGUUGUUUUGGUGCGGCUGGGCACUCUACUGGUGAUUGACACCAGAGACUGAGAAAAACUUUGACAUAAUUUCCAAGUUUGAUAUGACCUAAUAACUACCACAUUUACAGGAAGUAUGGUAAUACAUUCUUGUCAGCUGUCUGGGCAAAUCUUCUCUCGCAGAAUUGGAUUAAAAUUUAAUGUAUUUUAUUUCUCACUUCCAACGACAAACGAUGUCGCAAUUGUUAGGCAGCUAUCAAGUCUCAAGAUAUGACAUAAUUUGAUAGAAUGUUAGUACCAAUGCUAUCAGUGCAUUCAAGUCGAGUUCUCGAUACAGGGAGCUGCUGGUAAACUACCGUCGCUAUACAUCG
Molecule: long non-coding RNA, 1197 nt
Organism: Bolinopsis microptera
Lineage: Eukaryota; Metazoa; Ctenophora; Tentaculata; Lobata; Bolinopsidae
Exons: 3
Source: RefSeq, a predicted model, not a curated record